GUUAUUUUACGAUCUAACAAUAUACAAGGCGAUGGAAAACAAGAUUUCUUAACAACACAAAAUAUGGAGUUUGAUAGUAAGAUAUGAGCAGUUACAGAUGAGUAUGAAUAAAAUCGGAACGGAUGGAGCAAGUAUUAGAGAAAAUGGAAACCCUAGUUGCAGAGAGAGAGAGAGAGAAAGUAACGGAAGAUUGUAAAAGAAGAA
Molecule: long non-coding RNA, 204 nt
Filed under: Trifolium pratense (red clover)
Lineage: Eukaryota; Viridiplantae; Streptophyta; Magnoliopsida; Fabales; Fabaceae
Description: long non-coding RNA (TPRA_LNC008437)
Source: RNAcentral